CAUGCAAGUCGAGCGGGCAUAGCAAUAUGUCAGCGGCAGACGGGUGAGUAACGCGUGGGAACGUACCUUUUGGUUCGGAACAACUGAGGGAAACUUCAGCUAAUACCGGAUAAGCCCUUACGGGGAAAGAUUUAUCGCCGAAAGAUCGGCCCGCGUCUGAUUAGCUAGUUGGUGAGGUAAUGGCUCACCAAGGCGACGAUCAGUAGCUGGUCUGAGAGGAUGAUCAGCCACAUUGGGACUGAGACACGGCCCAAACUCCUACGGGAGGCAGCAGUGGGGAAUAUUGGACAAUGGGCGCAAGCCUGAUCCAGCCAUGCCGCGUGAGUGAUGAAGGCCCUAGGGUUGUAAAGCUCUUUUGUGCGGGAAGAUAAUGACGGUACCGCAAGAAUAAGCCCCGGCUAAC
This 403-nucleotide ribosomal RNA is filed under the name Bradyrhizobium sp. RNAcentral's name for it is "bacterial SSU rRNA". It matches the Rfam family "Bacterial small subunit ribosomal RNA", at positions 54 to 501 of the family's 1533-position model. The record is from RNAcentral. Lineage: Bacteria; Pseudomonadati; Pseudomonadota; Alphaproteobacteria; Hyphomicrobiales; Nitrobacteraceae.